RNAcentral lists this small RNA (74 nucleotides) under Chania multitudinisentens RB-25. RNAcentral's name for it is "KDPG-aldolase RNA". It matches the Rfam family "KDPG-aldolase RNA". The record is from Rfam by way of RNAcentral. Lineage: Bacteria; Pseudomonadati; Pseudomonadota; Gammaproteobacteria; Enterobacterales; Yersiniaceae.
GGUGCGGUCGGAAUCCGCAGCAAUGCGGAGCCCUGUGGCAGGGGCGUGCCAUACACAAACCGAAGUAGUGGAGA